GCGCCCAUAGCUCAGUUGGAUCAGAGCACGGACCUUCUAAGUCCGGGGUCGCAGGUUCGAGACCUGCUGGGCGCG
This 75-nucleotide transfer RNA is filed under the name Myxococcales bacterium. Its description in RNAcentral is "tRNA-Arg". It matches the Rfam family "tRNA". Rfam says of the family: Transfer RNA (tRNA) molecules are approximately 80 nucleotides in length. Their secondary structure includes four short double-helical elements and three loops (D, anti-codon, and T loops). Lineage: Bacteria; Pseudomonadati; Myxococcota; Myxococcia; Myxococcales. The record is from RNAcentral.